UCCAAAUCCAACCACAAUUCAAGACUAACUAUAAAUUUGACGAUCAGGCUCACAGUUACGUGUCGCUCAGUCACAUGCAGUCCGGACCCGGCCCGACCCGACCCGACCCGAAAUUGUAGUAAGUACUACAAAGAACGGAACUUUGCAAAAUAGAUAAAUAAUAAUAAAUCAAGAGGAAGGAGACGAGAGAUCUGCGUCGUGACAGUUAAUCAUCAAUGGCGAAACUCGAACUCAACGAAGAAGAGGAACCGAAAUCGAAGAAGAAGGCUGCUGUGAAAAGGAAUCACGGAUCCACAACGUUUUUCGUUCUCGUCGACUACCUUUUCCUUGGCAUUUUCAUCUGUUUCCUCGCCUACAUUCUCAUGAAAUUGUUUGGUUUUUGAUUCAAUAGGAGUAGUUAAAUAUAUGGAGCAUUCCAUCUCAAUGCAUACUCCCACGAAAAGGAUACUGGAUGGAUAGGCAGGCAUACAUGCUAAAUCCUUUAUACUAAUAUAGUAAUAUCACGUUGCUCAAAAUGAAUUCACAGUGCUUAUAUUUUUCUUAGCAUGAAUCAGUAGACUAAUCUUUGAACCAUAUUCACAUGUGCUAAUUCUAUAACACAGUUUUGUAUUGAUUUUGUGUUGUGGCCACACAGUCCAUUUUGCUAGUUGGGUGAAGGUUAUCCUUUUGUUUUUAA
Molecule: long non-coding RNA, 676 nt
Organism: Andrographis paniculata
Lineage: Eukaryota; Viridiplantae; Streptophyta; Magnoliopsida; Lamiales; Acanthaceae
Exons: 2
Source: RefSeq, a predicted model, not a curated record